RNAcentral lists this ribosomal RNA (429 nucleotides) under Chloroflexota bacterium. Its description in RNAcentral is "Chloroflexi bacterium partial 16S ribosomal RNA". It matches the Rfam family "Bacterial small subunit ribosomal RNA", at positions 355 to 776 of the family's 1533-position model. The record is from RNAcentral. Lineage: Bacteria; Bacillati; Chloroflexota.
UGGGGAAUAUUGCACAAUGGGCGCAAGCCUGAUGCAGCCAUGCCGCGUGUAUGAAGAAGGCCUUCGGGUUGUAAAGUACUUUCAGCGGGGAGGAAGGGAGUAAAGUUAAUACCUUUGCUCAUUGACGUUACCCGCAGAAGAAGCACCGGCUAACUCCGUGCCAGCAGCCGCGGUAAUACGGAGGGUGCAAGCGUUAAUCGGAAUUACUGGGCGUAAAGCGCACGCAGGCGGUUGAUUGAGUCAGAUGUGAAAUCCCCGGGCUUAACCCGGGAAUUGCAUCUGAUACUGGUCAGCUUGAGUCUUGUAGAGGGGGGUAGAAUUCCAUGUGUAGCGGUGAAAUGCGUAGAGAUGUGGAGGAAUACCGGUGGCGAAGGCGGCCCCCUGGACAAAGACUGACGCUCAGGUGCGAAAGCGUGGGGAGCAAACAGG